UACGUAGGGGGCAAGCGUUGUCCGGAAUCAUUGGGCGUAAAGCGCGUGUAGGCGGCCAGAAAAGUCCGCUGUGAAAACUCGAGGCUCAACUUCGAGCUGUCGGUGGAAACUUUCUGGCUAGAGUCCGGAAGAGGAGAAUGGAAUUCCUGGUGUAGCGGUGAAAUGCGCAGAUAUCAGGAGGAACACCAAUGGCGAAGGCAGCUCGCUGGGACGGUACUGACGCUGAGACGCGAAAGCGUGGGGAGCAAACAGG
RNAcentral lists this ribosomal RNA (253 nucleotides) under uncultured bacterium. RNAcentral describes it as "partial 16S ribosomal RNA". It matches the Rfam family "Bacterial small subunit ribosomal RNA", at positions 524 to 776 of the family's 1533-position model. The record is from RNAcentral.